UACGUAGGGUGCGAGCGUUAAUCGGAAUUACUGGGCGUAAAGCGUGCGCAGGCGGUUUUGUAAGCCAGAUGUGAAAUCCCCGGGCUUAACCUGGGAAUGGCAUUUGGGACUGCAAGGCUCGAGUGCGGCAGAGGAGACUGGAAUUCCUGGUGUAGCAGUGAAAUGCGUAGAUAUCAGGAAGAACACCUAUGGCGAAGGCAGCUCUCUGGGACGGUACUGACGCUGAGACGCGAAAGCGUGGGGAGCGAACAGG
This 253-nucleotide ribosomal RNA is filed under the name uncultured bacterium. RNAcentral's name for it is "partial 16S ribosomal RNA". It matches the Rfam family "Bacterial small subunit ribosomal RNA", at positions 524 to 776 of the family's 1533-position model. The record is from RNAcentral.